This 22-nucleotide transfer RNA is filed under the name Iguana iguana (Common green iguana). RNAcentral describes it as "partial tRNA-Ser". RNAcentral also lists the same sequence under 1 other name. Lineage: Eukaryota; Metazoa; Chordata; Lepidosauria; Squamata; Iguanidae. The record is from RNAcentral.
GAGAGGUGUUUAGAACACUAAG